This 301-nucleotide long non-coding RNA is filed under the name Elaeis guineensis (African oil palm). RNAcentral's name for it is "long non-coding RNA (EGUI_LNC064914)". Lineage: Eukaryota; Viridiplantae; Streptophyta; Magnoliopsida; Arecales; Arecaceae. The record is from RNAcentral.
AUCCUACGCUAUUUUAGAUCUAAUGUCUAUUAGAUCUAAUUUUAUUAUCUGAUAUUUAAAAUCUAAAAUUAAAUCUAAAAGUAUGAGAAAUAUAGACAUACCUUAAGGGUAAUCUAAUUACCCUGUAGAUGAUCGUAGCACUGCCUGAGGUUCUGAUGUAGCCACGCAAGCGCCUGGCCUCUACCAGUAUCCACUCAGGUAGGAUCUGGAACGUCUUCUCCUCAUGAUUCUAUACUCCAAAAAUCAGAUCAAUAUCUGAUUUGAAAGUACUUCAGAACUCCUUCUGAAGUUGGAGCAGCAG